GACGAACGCUGGCGGCGUGCUUAACACAUGCAAGUCGAACGGAAAGGCCCUGCUUUUGUGGGGUGCUCGAGUGGCGAACGGGUGAGUAACACGUGAGUAACCUGCCCUUGACUUUGGGAUAACUUCAGGAAACUGGGGCUAAUACCGUAUAGGAGCUCCUGCUGCAUGGUGGGGGUUGGAAAGUUUCGGCGGUUGGGGAUGGACUCGCGGCUUAUCAGCUUGUUGGUGGGGUAGUGGCUUACCAAGGCUUUGACGGGUAGCGGGCCUGAGAGGGUGACCGGCAACAUUGGACUAGGGGAAGGGCCAAGACGCAAAGGGGGGGAAGCGGCGGGAACAUUGCACAAUGGGCGGAAGCCUGAUGCAGCAACGCCGCGUGCGGGAUGACGGCCUUCGGGUUGUAAACCGCUUUCGCCUGUGACGAAGCGUGAGUGACGGUAAUGGGUAAAGAAGCACCGGCUAACUACGUG
This 467-nucleotide ribosomal RNA is filed under the name uncultured bacterium. RNAcentral's name for it is "partial 16S ribosomal RNA". It matches the Rfam family "Bacterial small subunit ribosomal RNA", at positions 28 to 507 of the family's 1533-position model. The record is from RNAcentral.